RNAcentral lists this ribosomal RNA (492 nucleotides) under uncultured bacterium. Its description in RNAcentral is "partial 16S ribosomal RNA". It matches the Rfam family "Bacterial small subunit ribosomal RNA", at positions 29 to 507 of the family's 1533-position model. The record is from RNAcentral.
AGUGAACGCUGGCGGUAGGCCUAACACAUGCAAGUCGAACGGCAGCACAGUAAGAGCUUGCUCUUACGGGUGGCGAGUGGCGGACGGGUGAGGAAUACAUCGGAAUCUACUUUUUCGUGGGGGAUAACGUAGGGAAACUUACGCUAAUACCGCAUACGACCUACGGGUGAAAGCAGGGGAUCUUCGGACCUUGCGCGAUUGAAUGAGCCGAUGUCGGAUUAGCUAGUUGGCGGGGUAAAGGCCCACCAAGGCGACGAUCCGUAGCUGGUCUGAGAGGAUGAUCAGCCGCACUGGAACUGAGACACGGUCCAGACUCCUACGGGAGGCAGCAGUGGGGAAUAUUGGACAAUGGGCGCAAGCCUGAUCCAGCCAUACCGCGUGGGUGAAGAAGGCCUUCGGGUUGUAAAGCCCUUUUGUUGGGAAAGAAAAGCAGCAGGUUAAUACCCCGCUGUUCUGACGGUACCCAAAGAAUAAGGACCGGCUAACUUCGUG